This 405-nucleotide ribosomal RNA is filed under the name uncultured bacterium. RNAcentral's name for it is "partial 16S ribosomal RNA". It matches the Rfam family "Bacterial small subunit ribosomal RNA", at positions 28 to 526 of the family's 1533-position model. The record is from RNAcentral.
GACGAACGCUGGCGGCGUGCUUAACACAUGCAAGUCGAGCGGAGCGGCGAACGGGUGAGUAACGCGUGAGUAAGUGCCCCCCUCUCUGGGAUAACAGCUGGAAACGGCUGCUAAUACCGGAUAGUGGGGGAUGACUCGCGUCUUAUCAGCUUGUUGGUGGGGUAGUGACCUACGAAGGCGACGACGGGUGGCCGGCCUGAGAGGGCGACCGGCCGCAUUGGGCGGAGAGACGGCCCGAACUGCUACUGGCGGCAGCAGGGAGGAAUGAUGCACAGGCAGGGAAACCCUGCUGCAGCGACGCCGCGUGCGGGAUGGCGGACGUCGUGUUGUAACCCGCUUUCUGCCAUGACGCGGUAGUGGCAGAAGAAGCACCGGCUAACUACGUGCCAGCAGCCGCGGUAAUAC